RNAcentral lists this ribosomal RNA (500 nucleotides) under uncultured bacterium. RNAcentral describes it as "partial 16S ribosomal RNA". It matches the Rfam family "Bacterial small subunit ribosomal RNA", at positions 30 to 523 of the family's 1533-position model. The record is from RNAcentral.
AUUGAACGCUGGCGGCAGGCCUAACACAUGCAAGUCGAGCGGCAGCGGGUCCUUCGGGAUGCCGGCGAGCGGCGGACGGGUGAGUAAUGCCUAGGAGUCUGCCUGGUAGUGGGGGAUAACGUUCGGAAACGGACGCUAAUACCGCAUACGUUCUACGGGAGAAAGUGGGGGAUCUUCGGACUUCACGCUAUCAGAUGAGCGUAGGUCGGAUUAGCUAGUUGGUGGGGUAAUGGCUCACCAAGGCGACGAUCCGUAACUGGUCUGAGAGGAUGAUCAGUCACACUGGAACUGAGACACGGUCCAGACUCCUACGGGAGGCAGCAGUGGGGAAUAUUGGACAAUGGGCGAAAGCCUGAUCCAGCCAUGCCGCGUGUGUGAAGAAGGUCUUCGGAUUGUAAAGCACUUUAAGUUGGGAGGAAGGGCAGUCAGUUAAUACCUGGUUGUUUUGACGUUACCAACAGAAUAAGCACCGGCUAACUUCGUGCCAGCCGCCGCAGUAA